GAUGAACGCUGGCGGCGUGCCUAAUACAUGCAAGUCGAGCGAACAGAUAAGGAGCUUGCUCCUUUGACGUUAGCGGCGGACGGGUGAGUAACACGUGGGUAACCUACCUAUAAGACUGGAAUAACUCCGGGAAACCGGGGCUAAUGCCGGAUAACAUUUAGAACCGCAUGGUUCUAAAGUGAAAGAUGGUUUUGCUAUCACUUAUAGAUGGACCCGCGCCGUAUUAGCUAGUUGGUAAGGUAACGGCUUACCAAGGCAACGAUACGUAGCCGACCUGAGAGGGUGAUUGGCCACACUGGAACUGAGACACGGUCCAGACUCCUACGGGAGGCAGCAGUAGGGAAUCUUCCGCAAUGGGCGAAAGCCUGACGGAGCAACGCCGCGUGAGUGAUGAAGGUCUUCGGAUCGUAAAACUCUGUUAUUAGGGAAGAACAAAUGUGUAAGUAACUGUGCACGUCUUGACGGUACCUAAUCAGAAAGCCACGGCUAACUACGUG
Molecule: ribosomal RNA, 497 nt
Filed under: uncultured bacterium
Lineage: Bacteria
Description: partial 16S ribosomal RNA
Rfam family: Bacterial small subunit ribosomal RNA
Source: RNAcentral